GUCUACGGCCAUGCCACCCUGAACGAGCCCGAUCCCGUCUGAUCUCAGAAGCUAAGCGGGGUCGGGCCUGGUUAAUACUUGGAUGGGAUAGAAGGCUUGCAUUUCAUUAAAAACUAGAUCACCAGGUGCUCUAGGCG
Molecule: ribosomal RNA, 137 nt
Organism: Pteropus vampyrus (large flying fox)
Lineage: Eukaryota; Metazoa; Chordata; Mammalia; Chiroptera; Pteropodidae
Source: Ensembl